UGGGGAAUAUUGCACAAUGGGCGCAAGCCUGAUGCAGCGACGCCGCGUGAGGGAUGACGGCCUUCGGGUUGUAAACCUCUUUCAGUAGGGAACAAGGCCUUCGGGUUGAGGGUACCUGCAGAARAAGCGCCGGCUAACUACGUGCCAGCAGCCGCGGUAAUACGUAGGGCGCAAGCGUUGUCCGGAAUUAUUGGGCGUAAAGAGCUCGUAGGCGGUUUGUCGCGUCUGCUGUGAAAACGCGAGGCUUAACCUCGCGCCUGCAGUGGGUACGGGCAGACUAGAGUGCGGUAGGGGAGACUGGAAUUCCUGGUGUAGCGGUGGAAUGCGCAGAUAUCAGGAGGAACACCGGUGGCGAAGGCGGGUCUCUGGGCCGUUACUGACGCUGAGGAGCGAAAGCAUGGGGAGCGAACAGGAUUAGAUACCCUGGUAGUCCAUGCCGUAAACGUUGGGCACUAGGUGUGGGGCCCAUUCCACGGGUUCCGCGCCGCAGCUAACGCAUUAAGUGCCCCGCCUGGGGAGWACGGCCGCAAGGCUA
Molecule: ribosomal RNA, 535 nt
Filed under: uncultured bacterium
Lineage: Bacteria
Description: bacterial SSU rRNA
Rfam family: Bacterial small subunit ribosomal RNA
Source: RNAcentral